UUAAGUGACUAAGCGUACACGGUGGAUGCCUUGGCAGUCAGAGGCGAUGAAAGACGUAGUAACUUGCGAUAAGCCCAGAUUAGGUAGUAACAACCAUUUGAGUCUGGGAUUUCUGAAUGGGGAAACCCACGUGCAUAAGCACGUAUCCUUACCUGAAUACAUAGGGUAAGGAGGCGAACCGGGGGAACUGAAACAUCUAAGUACCCCGAGGAAAAGAAAUCAACCGAGAUUCCGAAAGUAGCGGCGAGCGAAAUUGGACUAGCCCUUAAGCUUUACACGCGUUAGACGAACGGUCUGGAAAGUCCGACGAUACAGGGUGAUAGUCCCGUAGUUGACGACGUGUGUUCAGUGAAAUCGAGUAGGGCGGGACACGUGAUAUCCUGUCUGAAUAUGGGGGGACCAUCCUCCAAGGCUAAAUACUACUGACUGACCGAUAGUGAACCAGUACCGUGAGGGAAAGGCGAAAAGAACCCCUGUGAGGGGAGUGAAAUAGAACCUGAAACCGUGUACGUACAAGCAGUAGGAGCAGGCUUUGUCCUGUGACUGCGUACCUUUUGUAUAAUGGGUCAGCGACUUAUAUUCAGUGGCAAGGUUAACCAUCUAGGGGAGCCGUAGGGAAACCGAGUCUUAACUGGGCGUUCAGUCUCUGGAUAUAGACCCGAAACCAGGUGAUCUAGCCAUGGGCAGGUUGAAGGUUGAGUAACAUCAACUGGAGGACCGAACCGACUAAUGUUGAAAAAUUAGCGGAUGACUUGUGGCUAGGGGUGAAAGGCCAAUCAAACCUGGAGAUAGCUGGUUCUCCCCGAAAGCUAUUUAGGUAGCGCCUCGGACGAAUACUACUGGGGGUAGAGCACUGUUAAGGCUAGGGGGUCAUCCCGACUUACCAACCCUUUGCAAACUCCGAAUACCAGUAAGUACUAUCCGGGAGACACACGGCGGGUGCUAACGUCCGUCGUGGAGAGGGAAACAACCCAGACCGCCAGCUAAGGUCCCAAAUUACUACUAAGUGGGAAACGAUGUGGGAAGGCUCAGACAGCCAGGAUGUUGGCUUAGAAGCAGCCAUCAUUUAAAGAAAGCGUAAUAGCUCACUGGUCGAGUCGGCCUGCGCGGAAGAUGUAACGGGGCUAAGUAGUAAACCGAAGCUGCGGCAAUAUACUUUUGUAUAUUGGGUAGGGGAGCGUUCUGUAAGCGGUUGAAGGUGUGUGGUAACGCAUGCUGGACGUAUCAGAAGUGCGAAUGCUGACAUGAGUAACGAUAAAGGGGGUGAAAAACCUCCUCGCCGGAAGACCAAGGGUUCCUGUCCAACGUUAAUCGGGGCAGGGUAAGUCGACCCCUAAGGCGAGGCCGAAAGGCGUAGUCGAUGGGAAACGGGUUAAUAUUCCCGUACUUCUUACAAUUGCGAUGGGGGGACGGAGAAGGCUAGGUGGGCCUGGCGACGGUUGUCCAGGUUCAAGUGCGUAGGCUUAAGAGUUAGGUAAAUCCGGCUCUUUUUAAGGCUGAGACACGACGUCGAGCACCUACGGGUGUGAAGUCAUUGAUGCCAUGCUUCCAGGAAAAGCCUCUAAGCUUCAGAUUGUAAGGAAUCGUACCCCAAACCGACACAGGUGGUCGGGUAGAGAAUACCAAGGCGCUUGAGAGAACUCGGGUGAAGGAACUAGGCAAAAUGGUACCGUAACUUCGGGAGAAGGUACGCUCUUGAUGGUGAAGUCCCUUGCGGAUGGAGCUGACGAGAGUCGCAGAUACCAGGUGGCUGCAACUGUUUAUUAAAAACACAGCACUGUGCAAAAUCGUAAGAUGACGUAUACGGUGUGACGCCUGCCCGGUGCCGGAAGGUUAAUUGAUGGGGUUAGACUUCGGUCGAAGCUCUUGAUCGAAGCCCCGGUAAACGGCGGCCGUAACUAUAACGGUCCUAAGGUAGCGAAAUUCCUUGUCGGGUAAGUUCCGACCUGCACGAAUGGCGUAAUGAUGGCCACGCUGUCUCCACCCGAGACUCAGUGAAAUUGAAAUCGCUGUGAAGAUGCAGUGUACCCGCGGCUAGACGGAAAGACCCCGUGAACCUUUACUACAGCUUGGCACUGAACAUUGACCCUACAUGUGUAGGAUAGGUGGGAGGCUUUGAAGCACGUACGCCAGUAUGUGUGGAGCCGUCCUUGAAAUACCACCCUUGUAGUGUUGAUGUUCUAACGUCGACCCCUAAUCGGGGUUGCGGACAGUGCCUGGUGGGUAGUUUGACUGGGGCGGUCUCCUCCCAAAGAGUAACGGAGGAGCACGAAGGUGGGCUAAUCACGGUUGGACAUCGUGAGGUUAGUGCAAUGGCAUAAGCCCGCUUGACUGCGAGAAUGACAAUUCGAGCAGGUGCGAAAGCAGGUCAUAGUGAUCCGGUGGUUCUGAAUGGAAGGGCCAUCGCUCAACGGAUAAAAGGUACUCCGGGGAUAACAGGCUGAUACCGCCCAAGAGUUCAUAUCGACGGCGGUGUUUGGCACCUCGAUGUCGGCUCAUCACAUCCUGGGGCUGAAGUCGGUCCCAAGGGUAUGGCUGUUCGCCAUUUAAAGUGGUACGCGAGCUGGGUUUAGAACGUCGUGAGACAGUUCGGUCCCUAUCUGCCGUGGGCGUUGGAAGAUUGAAGGGGGCUGCUCCUAGUACGAGAGGACCGGAGUGGACGAACCUCUGGUGUUCGGGUUGUGUCGCCAGACGCAUUGCCCGGUAGCUAAGUUCGGAAUCGAUAACCGCUGAAAGCAUCUAAGCGGGAAGCGAGCCCUGAGAUGAGUCUUCCCUGAUACUUUAAGUAUCCUAAAGGGUUGUCGGAGACUACGACGUUGAUAGGUCAGGUGUGUAAGUGCUGUGAGGCAUUGAGCUAACUGAUACUAAUUGCCCGUGAGGCUUAACCAU
RNAcentral lists this ribosomal RNA (2889 nucleotides) under Vibrio parahaemolyticus. RNAcentral describes it as "bacterial LSU rRNA". It matches the Rfam family "Bacterial large subunit ribosomal RNA". The record is from RNAcentral. RNAcentral also lists the same sequence under 1 other name. Lineage: Bacteria; Pseudomonadati; Pseudomonadota; Gammaproteobacteria; Vibrionales; Vibrionaceae.